RNAcentral lists this long non-coding RNA (643 nucleotides) under Homo sapiens (human). Its description in RNAcentral is "non-protein coding lnc-PAX6-2:5". Lineage: Eukaryota; Metazoa; Chordata; Mammalia; Primates; Hominidae. The record is from RNAcentral.
GAACAUAGAAUUAGGAUUGUGACAAGAGACAAUGGUGGCAAUGACACGUAGUUAGAAUGUUACAGCUUGUGAAGUCUGUAGCUAAAUCUCAGGAACAGAAAUGUUGAGAAGGGUAGACUGAUGACUACCCCUCAGUGGAAACAGACCAGAUCUCAGCUUAUCUGGCUGGAAGGAAAGCAAAAAAACAAAGCAAAACCAACCAAAAAAUCCUAAGAAACAAAAGACAGAUUCAAGCCAAUCUGUGAUUUGUAAAAUAAGCCAGGUGCAGGCUUGUAUACUGGGCCACAUGGUGACUUGGAUUUUUAAGGGUUACACACAUGAGGCAACUACAAUCCAGAGGAAUUUGUGACUAUCCUCAGAGGCCACAGCCAUUGAUGCCUCUUUCACUCUGCCCAUUAUGUCCCACUGAACAGCUUGGGUGUCAGAGCCAGCCAUUUUGCUCUGUGAGGAAGUAAUUUUGCAGUUAAAUUGGACCUGGUUGCAUUUUCUAGUCUCUGCUUUCUCCAAAUAUCCCAGUACUUAGUUUUUGCUCUGGUUGAAAAAAAAAAAAAAAAAAAAAAAAAAAAAAAAAAAAAACCUACACUAAUGGAUUAAACAACCAUUUGGAAAAGACAGUUUGGCCUCUGGCUUGCCCCUGCUCUUC